Molecule: RNase P RNA, 339 nt
Filed under: uncultured Eubacterium sp.
Lineage: Bacteria; Bacillati; Bacillota; Clostridia; Eubacteriales; Eubacteriaceae
Description: Bacterial RNase P class A
Rfam family: Bacterial RNase P class A
About the family: Ribonuclease P (RNase P) is a ubiquitous endoribonuclease, found in archaea, bacteria and eukarya as well as chloroplasts and mitochondria. Its best characterised activity is the generation of mature 5'-ends of tRNAs by cleaving the 5'-leader elements of precursor-tRNAs.
Source: RNAcentral
AGUAGGAUAGAUGAUCGCGGCUGGAAUUAUUCCAGGUGAGGAAAGUCCGGGCUUCGUAGGGCAGGAUGCCGGAUAACGUCCGGUGGAGGUGACUCCCAGGAAAGUGCAACAGAAAACAUACCGCCAGUCUUUGACUGGUAAGGGCGAAAAGGCGAGGUAAGAGCUCACCGCUUGUCUGGUAACAGACAGGGCAUUGUAAACCCCAUCCGAAGCAAGACCAGAUCUGAGGCUAUAUGGCUGCCCGUCAUGCCUUGAGGUAGGUCGCUUGAACUCUGUGGCAACACAUGAGUCUAGAUAGAUGAUCAUCCACGACAUAACCCGGCUUACAGUCCUACUCUA